Molecule: ribosomal RNA, 442 nt
Filed under: uncultured bacterium
Lineage: Bacteria
Description: partial 16S ribosomal RNA
Rfam family: Bacterial small subunit ribosomal RNA
Source: RNAcentral
CUACGGGACGCAGCAGUCGAGAAUCUUCCGCAAUGCAGGAAACUGUGACGGAGCGACGCCGCGUGAUGGAUGAAGUAUUUAGGUAUGUAAACAUCUUUUAUAGGGGAGGAAAUUUUUGACGUUACCCUAUGAAUAAGGGGCUCCUAAUCUCGUGCCAGCAGGAGCGGUAAUACGAGAGCCCCAAGCGUUAUCCGGAAUCAUUGGGCGUAAAGGGUGCGUGGGUGGUUGUAUUAGUCAGAAUUUAAAGACCAGUGCUUAACAUUGGGAAGGGUUCUGAAACGGUACAACUAGAGGACGACAGAGGCAUAUGGAACUCAUGGUGUAGGGGUGAAAUCCGUUGAUAUCAUGGGGAACACCAAAGGCGAAGGCAAUAUGCUGGGUCGCGCCUGACACUGAGGCACGAAACCCUGGGUAGCGAAUGGGAUUAGAUACCCUAGUAGUC